Non-coding RNA from Pelobates cultripes (western spadefoot toad), 258 nucleotides. The record is from the annotation of a GenBank genome assembly. NCBI's taxonomy places the organism in Eukaryota, Metazoa, Chordata, Amphibia, Anura, Pelobatidae.
UGUAUGGGACAACGUUAGCAGUACUGGCUGGCUGUAUGGGACAACGUUAGCAGUACUGGCUGGCUGUAUGGUACAACUUGAGCAGAAUUGGCUGGCUGUAUGUAUGGGACACCAUUAGCAGAAUUGGCUGGAUGUAUGGGACAAUGUGAGCAGUAUUGGCUGGCUGUAUGUAUGGGACAACGUGAGCAGAAUUCAUUGGCUGGAUGUAUGGGACAAUGUGAGCCGUAUUGGCUGGCUGUAUGUAUGGGACAACGUGAG